GUGUGUGGCACUCCAGUUGGCAUUGAUUUGAUGACAUGGAAUUAUAUUAUUUCUUAUUUUAAAAACCAUAAAAAAAACUCAUUCACCAAAAUGUAGACAUUCUCUUAAACGAGUUUUCUCUUCUUGCCCUCAAACCCUAGCACUCUAUCGCCCUUUUCUCUGUCCUAUCUCCGACCACCAUAUCUUUCAAUGAAAACCCAAAGCAAUAUUCAAACUCCUUAUUUAUCCCAUGGCCUUCCUAAUGAAUCGAUUGAAUUUCUAUUUCGGAGAACAUCACCGUAGGCCACCCUAUCGUCAUGUCCGGCCUUGCAAUUUCAAACGAAGAAAAUGGACCAUCUUGGAGUCUCUUUGUGCGUAAGAUCUUCGAGAAACCAAACCGGGACAGAUUCGAGUUCCAUUUCUUCGUAUUCUUCCAACUCUGCCAGUGACCACCACACCGGAUUUGUUUAGGUAGCUGCGAGUUUCAUCCCUUCCUAGAGUGAGUGUCAUAUGUUCUUAAAAUUCUGAUUUUGUGCUCUAUUGUUGAAAAGAAUCAUGUUGUGUUAAAACCCUAAUUCCUCUUUUUCUCAAAUUAUGAUUGAAGAAGUAAUUAGUAUGUUAUAACCACUUAUGAUUGAGCAUAAUUAUUUGUUUUAGUUUUCUGACACUUUUUUGUGUUGGUUGUAGAAACGGUGUUUAUAUAUUUUUCUGAAGUCAUGUUUGAAAUCCAAUACAGUGUGAAAAGGAUUGUUUUCACAUCUUCUAUAAGUACUAUUACUGCUAAAGACAUCAAUGGAAAGUUGAAAUCCUUGAGUUUUGUUUUGUGGUGACAGGUUUAUGCACUUUCAAAGCUUCUCACAGAAUAAGUGGCAUUUAAAUUCGCAAAAGAGAACGGUAUCGAUCUUGUUUCAGUUAUAACAACCACUGUUGCAGGCCCUUUCUUCAUUGCUAAUGUACCGGCAAGUGCUAAAGUUCUACAGUCACCACUAACAAGUAACAGAUUUGAUUUCUACUUGCAUUUUUGUUCAAUCUGUUUAUAACAACGAAAGGAAGAAGAAGAAGAAAGGAAGAGAAAAAAGUGUUGGUUCUGUUCUUUUGAAGGAAUGAAUAUAGAGUGAAUGUGUCACUAAGGGAAAAGGAAUUAAUAUACAUGGUAGAAGCUACUGAAUUGAAGUCAUUGUGGUUCAUUGUGAUUGUUCUAUUUUGGCAGGUAUUUUGGGAUAAAGAUGACAAGAGAAAGGGAAAAUACAAUGAUUAGUGGACACCAUAUAAUGUGUAUUGAAUAUUAGAAGGAUUUAUAGUGUAAUGAUAUAUGUAGUGAAUUCUUGUUUCUUAUUCAUGGUAUUAGUGUUUUAUAGUGUGAUAUGAUUAUAAAGUUUUUGUAGCUUAUAUUAAUGGCUCAAUUGUGGUGUUUA
This is a long non-coding RNA of Vicia villosa (hairy vetch), 1394 nucleotides long. RefSeq lists it as uncharacterized. The record is from RefSeq and is a predicted model, not a curated record. The transcript is spliced from 2 exons. Lineage: Eukaryota; Viridiplantae; Streptophyta; Magnoliopsida; Fabales; Fabaceae.